Molecule: long non-coding RNA, 1077 nt
Organism: Micropterus salmoides (largemouth bass)
Lineage: Eukaryota; Metazoa; Chordata; Actinopteri; Centrarchiformes; Centrarchidae
Exons: 3
Source: RefSeq, a predicted model, not a curated record
UGUCAGGGGGACAGAUACAGCUUUGUGGCAUGAUGCGGAUGGCUUGGCCUGCGUAUGGUUCGAUUAAGCAAUAGCUCACGACAGACCAUGGUAUACGCUUCACUGUGUCCAACACCACCUUAUCAGAGUUGUUGGAUUCCACUCCUCCAUGCAGAGCCAUAAAAGACAGGGUGAAAUAUAUUUUGGAUGCCCUGCUACACGAGGCCACCCUUCAUUCGCUUGCUGCCGUCAACUGUAUUUCCCUGGACAGAGCCAAAAGGUUGUAUCAACAGGGUAGACAGUAUGACAAGAGUUCCACCAGAAACAUUCUUAUUGUUGCCUGUUGGCAACAUGAUGGACAUUCUUGGCUGGGACUUGAUGAGACACCUUGAUGAAGAAACCAAGCAAAAGCUGCAAGACAAAGACAACAAAAUGAAAUCUGCACUGGAUUCUCCAGACUUCAUAAAGAGACUCUGAGUCUGCCCCAUGCACUUAACCCAGUUAUUUAGACCAUCUCCUAGACAAUUAAUCCAAUCAACUUCUGAUGUUCACUGUGCAAUCUAAAGACAUGGGCAAUGAAAAGUUCUGCAGAGUUUUUGCUGAAGGGCGUGCAUGUAUCAUACCAGGUAGAUUUUUGUUUUUGGUAUACACUUCAGUCUUAUUGACACUUACAAGGUAUACAAUAUAGCAUUAUGAGUGUUUAAAAGAAAAUCGGAACUGUUUGUGUAAUGGCAUGGAAGGUCAGUGUUUUUUCCAUGAAAGACGAAAGCUAUGACGUCAUUAUACACGCUUAGAACUGUACCAAAUUUCAUGUUUGAUAACAGCCCUGCUCUGAAGACAUCAUGUUAAUAUUAAUUCAGUCAUAGUAAGUAAGCAACAUGAAGUAAGUUUUAGAUGUUAAUGUCUUUAUUGCACAUUUUAUUGUAUUGUGGGUAUUCUUUUUUAUUCACUGUACUUUUAUAUGAUGGAGCUCUUUGAUGGCACUUUUUUUUUUCAUUUAGAUUUUGUUAAGCACUUUAACAUGAUUUUUAAGGUGCUAUAAAAAUCAAGUGUGUUGUGUCUCACUGAAAGUGAAAAAGUGCACUAUUUUCAUUGAUA